Molecule: transfer RNA, 87 nt
Filed under: Chitinophagaceae bacterium
Lineage: Bacteria; Pseudomonadati; Bacteroidota; Chitinophagia; Chitinophagales; Chitinophagaceae
Description: tRNA-Leu
Rfam family: tRNA
About the family: Transfer RNA (tRNA) molecules are approximately 80 nucleotides in length. Their secondary structure includes four short double-helical elements and three loops (D, anti-codon, and T loops).
Source: RNAcentral
GCCCGGGUGGCGGAACUGGUAGACGCGCCAGACUCAAAAUCUGGUUCUCGCAAGGGAGUGGGGGUUCGAUUCCCCCCUCGGGCACUA